UCGCGGUGGAGGGGCGGGGACCUCUCGACGAGUUGGGGGUUCGCCACUUCCCCCACCCGUUCAGCAUCGGCGACCGCGUG
RNAcentral lists this transfer RNA (80 nucleotides) under Rhodococcus sp. T7. RNAcentral's name for it is "tRNA-Pro". Lineage: Bacteria; Bacillati; Actinomycetota; Actinomycetes; Mycobacteriales; Nocardiaceae. The record is from RNAcentral.